Molecule: small nuclear RNA, 108 nt
Filed under: Delphinapterus leucas (beluga whale)
Lineage: Eukaryota; Metazoa; Chordata; Mammalia; Artiodactyla; Monodontidae
Source: RNAcentral
GUGCUCACUUCAGCAGCACGUAUACUAAAAUUGGAAUGGUACAGAGAAGAUUAGCAUGGCCCCUGCGUAAGGAUGGGCACACAAAUUCGUGAAGCGUUCCAUAUUUAA